UACGUAGGUGACAAGCGUUGUCCGGAUUUACUGGGCGUAAAGGGCUCGUAGGCGGCCAACUAAGUCGGACGUGAAAUCCCUCAGCUUAACUGGGGAACUGCGUCCGAUACUGGAUGGCUUGGAUUUGGGAGAGGGAUGCGGAAUUCCAGGUGUAGCGGUGAAAUGCGUAGAUAUCUGGAGGAACACCGGUGGCGAAGGCGGCAUCCUGGACCAACAUUGACGCUGAGGAGCGAAAGCUAGGGGAGCAAACGGG
RNAcentral lists this ribosomal RNA (253 nucleotides) under uncultured bacterium. Its description in RNAcentral is "partial 16S ribosomal RNA". It matches the Rfam family "Bacterial small subunit ribosomal RNA", at positions 524 to 776 of the family's 1533-position model. The record is from RNAcentral.